GCGGACAGGCCGGCAUCCUCCACAUCGGACUCUUAAUCCGCGGGUUCGGGGUUCGAGUCCCUGGCGGCGCA
RNAcentral lists this transfer RNA (71 nucleotides) under Phytohabitans maris. RNAcentral describes it as "tRNA-Ser". Lineage: Bacteria; Bacillati; Actinomycetota; Actinomycetes; Micromonosporales; Micromonosporaceae. The record is from RNAcentral.